CAGUCGCCGCGGGAAUACGUAGGGUCCGAGCGUUGUCCGGAAUUAUUGGGCGUAAAGGGCUCGUAGGCGGUUUGUUGCGUCGGGAGUGAAAACCGGGUGCUUAACACCUGGCUUGCUUUCGAUACGGGCAGACUUGAGGCAUGCAGGGGAGAACGGAAUUCCUGGUGUAGCGGUGAAAUGCGCAGAUAUCAGGAGGAACACCGGUGGCGAAGGCGGUUCUCUGGGCAUGUUCUGACGCUGAGGAGCGAAAGUGUGGGGAGCGAACAGGAUUAGAUACCCCAGUAGUCCCUGUCUCUUAUAC
This 301-nucleotide ribosomal RNA is filed under the name uncultured bacterium. RNAcentral's name for it is "partial 16S ribosomal RNA". It matches the Rfam family "Bacterial small subunit ribosomal RNA", at positions 509 to 807 of the family's 1533-position model. The record is from RNAcentral.